CCUACGGGAGGCUGCAGUGAGGAAUAUUGGUCAAUGGACGCAAGUCUGAACCAGCCAUGCCGCGUGCAGGAUGACGGCUCUAUGAGUUGUAAACUGCUUUUGUACGAGGGUAAACCCCGAUACGUGUAUCGGGUUGAAAGUAUCGUACGAAUAAGGAUCGGCUAACUCCGUGCCAGCAGCCGCGGUAAUACGGAGGAUCCGAGCGUUAUCCGGAUUUAUUGGGUUUAAAGGGUGCGUAGGCGGUUUGAUAAGUUAGAGGUGAAAUGUCGGGGCUCAACCCCGAAACUGCCUCUAAUACUGUUGGACUAGAGAAUAGUUGCGGUAGGCGGAAUGUAUGGUGUAGCGGUGAAAUGCUUAGAUAUUGCGCAGAACUCCGAUUGCGAAGGCAGCAUACCGGCGGCGAUCUGACGCUGAGGCACGAAAGCGUGGGUAUCGAACAGGAUUAGAUACCCGAGUAGUC
RNAcentral lists this ribosomal RNA (460 nucleotides) under uncultured bacterium. Its description in RNAcentral is "partial 16S ribosomal RNA". It matches the Rfam family "Bacterial small subunit ribosomal RNA", at positions 338 to 795 of the family's 1533-position model. The record is from RNAcentral.